UACGGAGGGUGCAAGCGUUAAUCGGAAUUACUGGGCGUAAAGCGUGCGUAGGCGGUUUGUUUAGUCAGAUGUGAAGGCCCCGGGCUCAACCUGGGAACUGCAUUUGAUACUGGCAGACUAGAGUAUGGUAGAGGGGGGUAGAAUUCCUGGUGUAGCGGUGAAAUGCGUAGAUAUCAGGAGGAAUACCAGUGGCGAAGGCAGCCCCCUGGGAUAAUAUUGACGCUCAUGCACGAAAGCGUGGGGAGCAAACAGG
This 253-nucleotide ribosomal RNA is filed under the name uncultured bacterium. RNAcentral describes it as "partial 16S ribosomal RNA". It matches the Rfam family "Bacterial small subunit ribosomal RNA", at positions 524 to 776 of the family's 1533-position model. The record is from RNAcentral.